GGGUUGUGAGGUUAAGCGACUAAGCGUACACGGUGGAUGCCCUGGCAGUCAGAGGCGAUGAAGGACGUGCUAAUCUGCGAUAAGCGUCGGUAAGGUGAUAUGAACCGUUAUAACCGGCGAUUUCCGAAUGGGGAAACCCAGUGUGUUUCGACACACUAUCAUUAACUGAAUCCAUAGGUUAAUGAGGCGAACCGGGGGAACUGAAACAUCUAAGUACCCCGAGGAAAAGAAAUCAACCGAGAUUCCCCCAGUAGCGGCGAGCGAACGGGGAGGAGCCCAGAGCCUGAAUCAGUGUGUGUGUUAGUGGAAGCGUCUGGAAAGGCGCGCGAUACAGGGUGACAGCCCCGUACACAAAAAUGCACAUGCUGUGAGCUCGAUGAGUAGGGCGGGACACGUGGUAUCCUGUCUGAAUAUGGGGGGACCAUCCUCCAAGGCUAAAUACUCCUGACUGACCGAUAGUGAACCAGUACCGUGAGGGAAAGGCGAAAAGAACCCCGGCGAGGGGAGUGAAAAAGAACCUGAAACCGUGUACGUACAAGCAGUGGGAGCCUCUUUAUGGGGUGACUGCGUACCUUUUGUAUAAUGGGUCAGCGACUUAUAUUCUGUAGCAAGGUUAACCGAAUAGGGGAGCCGAAGGGAAACCGAGUCUUAACUGGGCGUUAAGUUGCAGGGUAUAGACCCGAAACCCGGUGAUCUAGCCAUGGGCAGGUUGAAGGUUGGGUAACACUAACUGGAGGACCGAACCGACUAAUGUUGAAAAAUUAGCGGAUGACUUGUGGCUGGGGGUGAAAGGCCAAUCAAACCGGGAGAUAGCUGGUUCUCCCCGAAAGCUAUUUAGGUAGCGCCUCGUGAAUUCAUCUCCGGGGGUAGAGCACUGUUUCGGCAAGGGGGUCAUCCCGACUUACCAACCCGAUGCAAACUGCGAAUACCGGAGAAUGUUAUCACGGGAGACACACGGCGGGUGCUAACGUCCGUCGUGAAGAGGGAAACAACCCAGACCGCCAGCUAAGGUCCCAAAGUCAUGGUUAAGUGGGAAACGAUGUGGGAAGGCCCAGACAGCCAGGAUGUUGGCUUAGAAGCAGCCAUCAUUUAAAGAAAGCGUAAUAGCUCACUGGUCGAGUCGGCCUGCGCGGAAGAUGUAACGGGGCUAAACCAUGCACCGAAGCUGCGGCAGCGACGCUUAUGCGUUGUUGGGUAGGGGAGCGUUCUGUAAGCCUGCGAAGGUGUACUGUGAGGUAUGCUGGAGGUAUCAGAAGUGCGAAUGCUGACAUAAGUAACGAUAAAGCGGGUGAAAAGCCCGCUCGCCGGAAGACCAAGGGUUCCUGUCCAACGUUAAUCGGGGCAGGGUGAGUCGACCCCUAAGGCGAGGCCGAAAGGCGUAGUCGAUGGGAAACAGGUUAAUAUUCCUGUACUUGGUGUUACUGCGAAGGGGGGACGGAGAAGGCUAUGUUGGCCGGGCGACGGUUGUCCCGGUUUAAGCGUGUAGGCUGGUUUUCCAGGCAAAUCCGGAAAAUCAAGGCUGAGGCGUGAUGACGAGGCACUACGGUGCUGAAGCAACAAAUGCCCUGCUUCCAGGAAAAGCCUCUAAGCAUCAGGUAACAUCAAAUCGUACCCCAAACCGACACAGGUGGUCAGGUAGAGAAUACCAAGGCGCUUGAGAGAACUCGGGUGAAGGAACUAGGCAAAAUGGUGCCGUAACUUCGGGAGAAGGCACGCUGAUAUGUAGGUGAAGCGACUUGCUCGUGGAGCUGAAAUCAGUCGAAGAUACCAGCUGGCUGCAACUGUUUAUUAAAAACACAGCACUGUGCAAACACGAAAGUGGACGUAUACGGUGUGACGCCUGCCCGGUGCCGGAAGGUUAAUUGAUGGGGUUAGCGGUAACGCGAAGCUCUUGAUCGAAGCCCCGGUAAACGGCGGCCGUAACUAUAACGGUCCUAAGGUAGCGAAAUUCCUUGUCGGGUAAGUUCCGACCUGCACGAAUGGCGUAAUGAUGGCCAGGCUGUCUCCACCCGAGACUCAGUGAAAUUGAACUCGCUGUGAAGAUGCAGUGUACCCGCGGCAAGACGGAAAGACCCCGUGAACCUUUACUAUAGCUUGACACUGAACAUUGAGCCUUGAUGUGUAGGAUAGGUGGGAGGCUUUGAAGUGUGGACGCCAGUCUGCAUGGAGCCGACCUUGAAAUACCACCCUUUAAUGUUUGAUGUUCUAACGUUGGCCCCUAAUCGGGGUUGCGGACAGUGUCUGGUGGGUAGUUUGACUGGGGCGGUCUCCUCCUAAAGAGUAACGGAGGAGCACGAAGGUUGGCUAAUCCUGGUCGGACAUCAGGAGGUUAGUGCAAUGGCAUAAGCCAGCUUGACUGCGAGCGUGACGGCGCGAGCAGGUGCGAAAGCAGGUCAUAGUGAUCCGGUGGUUCUGAAUGGAAGGGCCAUCGCUCAACGGAUAAAAGGUACUCCGGGGAUAACAGGCUGAUACCGCCCAAGAGUUCAUAUCGACGGCGGUGUUUGGCACCUCGAUGUCGGCUCAUCACAUCCUGGGGCUGAAGUAGGUCCCAAGGGUAUGGCUGUUCGCCAUUUAAAGUGGUACGCGAGCUGGGUUUAGAACGUCGUGAGACAGUUCGGUCCCUAUCUGCCGUGGGCGCUGGAGAACUGAGGGGGGCUGCUCCUAGUACGAGAGGACCGGAGUGGACGCAUCACUGGUGUUCGGGUUGUCAUGCCAAUGGCACUGCCCGGUAGCUAAAUGCGGAAGAGAUAAGUGCUGAAAGCAUCUAAGCACGAAACUUGCCCCGAGAUGAGUUCUCCCUGACUCC
Molecule: ribosomal RNA, 2806 nt
Filed under: Escherichia coli
Lineage: Bacteria; Pseudomonadati; Pseudomonadota; Gammaproteobacteria; Enterobacterales; Enterobacteriaceae
Description: bacterial LSU rRNA
Rfam family: Bacterial large subunit ribosomal RNA
Source: RNAcentral